AGUGAACGCUGGCGGUAGGCCUAACACAUGCAAGUCGAACGGCAGCACAGUAAGAGCUUGCUCUUACGGGUGGCGAGUGGCGGACGGGUGAGGAAUACAUCGGAAUCUACUUUUUCGUGGGGAAUAACGUAGGGAAACUUACGCUAAUACCGCAUACGACCUACGGGUGAAAGCAGGGGAUCUUCGGACCUUGCGCGAUUGAAUGAGCCGAUGUCGGAUUAGCUAGUUGGCGGGGUAAAGGCCCACCAAGGCGACAAUCCGUAGCGGGUCUGAGAGGAUGAUCAGCCACACUGGAACUGAGACACGGUCCAGACUCCUACGGGAGGCAGCAGUGGGGAAUAUUGGACAAUGGGCGCAAGCCUGAUCCAGCCAUACCGCGUGGGUGAAGAAGGCCUUCGGGUUGUAAAGCCCUUUUGUUGGGAAAGAAAAGCAGCAGGUUAAUACCCCGCUGUUCUGACGGUACCCAAAGAAUAAGCACCGGCUAACUUCGUG
This 492-nucleotide ribosomal RNA is filed under the name uncultured bacterium. Its description in RNAcentral is "partial 16S ribosomal RNA". It matches the Rfam family "Bacterial small subunit ribosomal RNA", at positions 29 to 507 of the family's 1533-position model. The record is from RNAcentral.